GCGGGAAGAGCUCAAAUUUAUAAUCUGGCACCUUCGGUGUCCGAGUUGUAAUCUCUAGAAGUGUUUUCCGCGUUGGACCGCACACAAGUCUGUUGGAAUACAGCGGCAUAGUGGUGAAACCCCCGUAUAUGGUGCGGACGCCCAGCGCUUUGUGAUACACUUUCAAUGAGUCGAGUUGUUUGGGAAUGCAGCUCAAAUUGGGUGGUAAAUUCCAUCUAAAGCUAAAUAUUGGCGAGAGACCGAUAGCGAACAAGUACCGUGAGGGAAAGAUGAAAAGCACUUUGGAAAGAGAGUUAACAGUACGUGAAAUUGUUGGAAGGGAAACGCUUGAAGUCAGACUUGCUUGCCGGAGCUUGCUUCGGUUUGCAGGCCAGCAUCAGUUUUCCGGGGUGGAUAAUGAC
This 401-nucleotide ribosomal RNA is filed under the name Rhodotorula diobovata. RNAcentral describes it as "eukaryotic LSU rRNA". It matches the Rfam family "Eukaryotic large subunit ribosomal RNA", at positions 98 to 502 of the family's 3401-position model. The record is from RNAcentral. Lineage: Eukaryota; Fungi; Basidiomycota; Microbotryomycetes; Sporidiobolales; Sporidiobolaceae.